Microcebus murinus (gray mouse lemur) is the source of this 1080-nucleotide non-coding RNA. The record is from RefSeq and is a predicted model, not a curated record. Lineage: Eukaryota; Metazoa; Chordata; Mammalia; Primates; Cheirogaleidae.
GGCCGCCCGCACCAUGAAGAUCUGGACUUCGGAGCAUGUCUUUGACCACCCAUGGGAAACUGUUGCCACAGCUGCAAUGCAGAAAUACCCAAACCCUGUGAACCCGAGUGUGGUGGGAGUUGAUGUGUUGGACAGACGUGUAGAUCCCUCCGGAAAGUUGCACAGCCACAGACUUCUGAGCACAGAGUGGGGACUGCCUUCCAUUGUGAAGUCUCUUAUCGGUGCAGCAAGAACCAAAACAUAUGUGCAAGAACAUUCUGUAGUUGAUCCUGUAGAGAAAACAGUGGAACUUAAAUCUACUAAUAUUUCAUUUACAAAUAUGGUUUCAGUAGAUGAGAGACUUAUAUACAAACCACAUCCCCAGGACCCAGAAAAAACUAUCUUGACUCAAGAAGCCAUAAUCACUGUGAAAGGAGUCAGCCUUAGCAGUUACCUUGAAGGACUGAUGGCAAGUACCAUAUCUUCAAAUGCUAAUAAAGGCCGAGAAGCAAUGGAAUGGGUGAUACAUAAAUUAAAUGUCGAGAUUGAAGAACUGACGGCUUCAGCAAGAGGAGGCAUAAGGACUCCAAUGGCAGCAGCAGCGUUUGUAGAAAAAUGAUAAUGCCAGUUGGUAGAUAACGUUGGGUGCCCCAGGUCUCUCCAAGCUGGCAAUAUUUAUUUGUUAUUUAAAAAAUACAACUCUAUUUUAGGUAGAAUUUUUUUUUAAUAAGCUGAUUUAGGCUAUGUGACUUGAUCAAAACAGAGAUACAGGGCUUCUAAAUAAAGGGACCAUCUGAAAUUAGUGUUGUUUGAAAUGGCUAAUUUUAAGGUUUCCAGUAUUUAUAUGAAAAUUUAAGUUUUCUUAAAAGUACUUGGAAAUUGGUAUUGACAUUGACUCUCCUUAAGGUAGAAUUUUAAAGCUUUUCAUGCAUUGGAACUCUACCUGGCUUUGGACCAACCCCAAAACAAAGCAGAGAUUGCCCUGCUGCUGUAACUUCAACAGCUUGCAUGAGAGAACUCACUUUAAAAGGAGAAAUUAUAUACUUUUAAAAGAUAUUAAUUUGUAUAACUUGCUCUGCUAUAAACCACCUUUAAAAACCA